ACCACCCUUCAGCUAACCAGCAGCAGCAGAUCGAGCCGGAGCUACGCCCCGCCCAUAGAAUUGAUGAUCCUUUCCGCUUGUGUGACCGGAACGCCUUGGCCCAUUGGUAUGGCCACUGGCUGCGACCGAUGCUAGCGAUUGCUGUCGCCAUGACGGCGAACCCCAGCCGGAGCCGGAGCUUUUGGUUAGAGAAAGGUGAGACGUUGCUUUAUCCGCUUCGGGGGGCUGUGUGGAGUCCGCGUGAAGGAAGCGUGGCUCUCCCUUUCGGUGGCAGGCACCACACAAGCGUCGCAUGAUCGAUCGGGUCCUGGUCUGGUCUGGCUGGCUGGCUCUGUUCACGUACACAGUCACAGUCUCGCACCUGCGCGGUAUGAUGGCCUGUUAUAUUUGGCUAAGCUUGAUAGAGUAUGUCAUGGCCGUCCCUGUCUGCUUUUUAUCCUAAUCUUUGCUAAAUUGUGCAGUAUCUUUUCUCCAUUUCUAGCGUUUCAUUCUGCUGACUGUAAGAGUUGUGCAGAGCACGAGAACAGAGCCGUCGAUCAAUAGCAGCACGCCAGCACCACCGAUUCUCAGUGAACAAUGGACAGCAGAACAUGCCCGUCAUGGCAGAAGUUGUUUUCACGCCUCCCGAUGACCCGAUGGACAUUGGACAGAGCUAAGUUUUAGCCGCGGUGUCGGGCGCAGGGCGGGCCACGGCACGCGCGAGACGACGACGGAGAGCACAUGCGCCCAUGCCCAUGCACGCAGGCCCAUCGCCUGCAGACGAGCGACGAGCAACGGCUACGCGCGGCGUGGCAGAACGGGACGAGGGGCGCGGGGCUGCGUGGCGGGCGCCCGUAGGCGCAGCGCAUGCGCGCGGCAUCCCAGC
Molecule: long non-coding RNA, 865 nt
Filed under: Setaria viridis
Lineage: Eukaryota; Viridiplantae; Streptophyta; Magnoliopsida; Poales; Poaceae
Description: long non-coding RNA (SVIR_LNC001138)
Source: RNAcentral